GACGAACGCUGGCGGCGUGCUUAACACAUGCAAGUCGAACGAAGAGCGAUGGAAGCUUGCUUCUAUCAAUCUUAGUGGCGCACGGGUGAGUAACGCGUAAUCAACCUGCCCUUCAGAGGGGGACAACAGUUGGAAACGACUGCUAAUACCGCAUACGAUCUAAUCUCGGCAUCGAGGAUAGAUGAAAGGUGGCCUCUACAUGUAAGCUAUCACUGAAGGAGGGGAUUGCGUCUGAUUAGCUAGUUGGAGGGGUAACGGCCCACCAAGGCGAUGAUCAGUAGGCGGUCUGAGAGGAUGAACGGCCACAUUGGGACUGAGACACGGCCCAGACUCCUACGGGAGGCAGCAGUGGGGAAUCUUCCGCAAUGGACGAAAGUCUGACGGAGCAACGCCGCGUGAGUGAUGACGGCCUUCGGGUUGUAAAGCUCUGUUAAUCGGGACGAAAGGCCUUCUUGCGAAUAGUGAGAAGGAUUGACGGUACCGGAAUAGAAAGCCACGGCUAACUACGUG
Molecule: ribosomal RNA, 510 nt
Filed under: uncultured bacterium
Lineage: Bacteria
Description: partial 16S ribosomal RNA
Rfam family: Bacterial small subunit ribosomal RNA
Source: RNAcentral